GAUGAACGCUGGCGGCGUGCCUAAUACAUGCAAGUCGAGCGAACAGACGAGGAGCUUGCUCCUUUGACGUUAGCGGCGGACGGGUGAGUAACACGUGGGUAACCUACCUAUAAGACUGGGAUAACUUCGGGAAACCGGAGCUAAUACCGGAUAAUAUUUCGAACCGCAUGGUUCGAUAGUGAAAGAUGGCUUUGCUAUCACUUAUAGAUGGACCUGCGCCGUAUUAGCUAGUUGGUAAGGUAACGGCUUACCAAGGCAACGAUACGUAGCCGACCUGAGAGGGUGAUCGGCCACACUGGAACUGAGACACGGUCCAGGCUCCUACGGGAGGCAGCAGUAGGGAAUCUUCCGCAAUGGGCGAAAGCCUGACGGAGCAACGCCGCGUGAGUGAUGAAGGUCUUCGGAUCGUAAAACUCUGUUAUUAGGGAAGAACAAACGUGUAAGUAACUGUGCACGUCUUGACGGUACCUAAUCAGAAAGCCACGGCUAACUACGUG
This 497-nucleotide ribosomal RNA is filed under the name uncultured bacterium. RNAcentral describes it as "partial 16S ribosomal RNA". It matches the Rfam family "Bacterial small subunit ribosomal RNA", at positions 28 to 507 of the family's 1533-position model. The record is from RNAcentral.